UUAUCCUUUUCUCCUUAGCCACACAUUUAUCGUCAACAGAACCACCCCCUUCUCUCUUCUACUCUUCCAGCCGCGGCGCCGCAGCGCGCUCGUUCGUGCUCGCCCCGACGCCCUCCCCUGGUAGCUUGCACAUGGCUGUGCUCGCACGAAGCCCCACCGUCCUCCCCCGCGUCGCCGUAGAGCUCCAACCAGCGCCAAAAAAAGCUGCAAUCGGCUCAGGCAACUCCGCCAAUGCGCAUCGCCGUCGAUGCUGAGCGGAAGCGGCAGCCGGGCGUGCGUGCUACCACGGGGCAUGGAAAAGCUGCAUCCGGCUGACGGGGAAGCUGCUACCGGCACUCGCAGAAGCUGCGAUGACGACGACCCGCAAGAUGGCGACAUGCUGGAACCGGGGAAGCGGGAUGCUGGAACCAGCGAAGUUUUUUGCUGCCACCGGUGGUAAUUAUUGCUGGAACCAAUGGUGUUUUUCUAGCAUCUGCGUGGUUUUUGUUGCAACCGUCUUUGAUUUUUGCUGAAUUUGUUGUUUGUUUUUGCUGGAACCAACAAAUGUUGGGUGUGGGUGCUCAGGUGAUGAGUUUUGUUGGGACUGGCGGUGAGUUUUUGCUUCGACCAGCAGCUUUUUUUGCUGGAUCGACAUUUUUGUUUUGCUGCAACGCUCGUUGGAAGAGCUGCAUCCAAACGGCAGCAGGGCGGAGCCAACAAUGGUGGAUCUGUGGCCAGCGGCACCUUGCAACACACCGGCGGUCGUGCGAGAUCGCGGGAACAGGGGGCAGCAGUGUCGCUGCAUCGCGGUCCGGGCGACAAGUUGGGUGCGCUGUGGGGAAUUUUUUCAGUGAGAUGCGUGAGGUGAAAGAAGCUUGGAGGCGAAUCUGACGGUUGAAUAUAGUUGGAUCGUACGGCUGCGGGCCGACCGGCCCAAAAUUAGGCCGGUCGACCAGCGCCUAUCAGUCGCCGUUAGGUAAAGGCUUGUCGUAAAUAUGGAUGUAUUUAGAUAUAUUUUAGUUCUAGAUAUAUCAUUUCUGCGACAAGUAAUUUGAAACGGAGGGAGUAUAAAAGUAGGUCUAAAACUCAAGUAGUAGGAGCCAGUACAGUAAUCGAGUCUUGAGUGAAAUUAAGGCAGUGGUAAUGUUCACCGGCGAGAUUGAAAUAUGCUACUGUGCUAUUUUCUUCUUUUUUGGUAAGAACUCGGGAGAGACCGACCUGGAUUGAAUGGGUGAGACCAUCCAUCCGCGGCCGAUUUGGGGAACGCCAUCGUCGCACCUCCGGUCAGAUUGGGGAACGAAGAUGAGGACUACUCGUGGCGUCCGGCCCCUCUGCUGCCUUUGUCUUAUGACUUGUGGACCCGCACUCAUGGCCCUCCUCUGCCACUGAAAUUAGGAGCAAGUAUAAAAAAAGCAGGAGCUCAAGGAGGGCGACAGUCCCAUUUGCAAAUGAAGAUGUUUUGGGGGGAAGAGUAUUUGCUUAGGAAGAAGAGGGUGACCUGCAAUGGCUCCAAGGAAUCGUACCGUUGCGGCCGACAGUUGAUGCUGCCUUCUUCCAUUCCAUCUCCAUCACCCGCAGGCUGAUCACCCGGCCACGUGUGUGAUGGGGUCCGGCCGGAGGAGCUAGGAGGACGAACGGGGAGCCAUGUAACUGACCUUGAACCGUGCACUGAAACAAGCUUCCAGGAAGAUGUCUCCUCUGUAAAAGAAAAUAGAAGUAGACUUUAUUGAGCAAAGAACAAUCAAAUACAAGGAGUUGAUCCCA
Triticum urartu is the source of this 1743-nucleotide non-coding RNA. Lineage: Eukaryota; Viridiplantae; Streptophyta; Magnoliopsida; Poales; Poaceae. The record is from RefSeq and is a predicted model, not a curated record.